GGUACGACUCUCGACAAUGGAUAUCUCAGCCCUCGCAUCGAUGAAGAAUGUAGCGAAAUGUGAUACGUGGUGUGAAUUGCAGAAUCCUGCGAACCAUCGAGCUUUGAAUGCAAGUUGCACCCGAGGCCAUCAGGCCGAGGGCAUGCCUGCCUGGGCAUCACAC
This 163-nucleotide ribosomal RNA is filed under the name Mauritiella armata. Its description in RNAcentral is "5.8S ribosomal RNA". It matches the Rfam family "5.8S ribosomal RNA". Rfam says of the family: 5.8S ribosomal RNA (5.8S rRNA) is a component of the large subunit of the eukaryotic ribosome. It is transcribed by RNA polymerase I as part of the 45S precursor that also contains 18S and 28S rRNA. Lineage: Eukaryota; Viridiplantae; Streptophyta; Magnoliopsida; Arecales; Arecaceae. The record is from RNAcentral.